RNAcentral lists this ribosomal RNA (468 nucleotides) under uncultured bacterium. RNAcentral's name for it is "partial 16S ribosomal RNA". It matches the Rfam family "Bacterial small subunit ribosomal RNA", at positions 28 to 507 of the family's 1533-position model. The record is from RNAcentral.
GACGAACGCUGGCGGCGUGCUUAACACAUGCAAGUCGAACGGAAAGGCCCUGCUUUUGUGGGGUGCUCGAGUGGCGAACGGGUGAGUAACACGUGAGUAACCUGCCCUUGACUUUGGGAUAACUUCAGGAAACUGGGGCUAAUACCGGAUAGGAGCUCCUGCUGCAUGGUGGGGGUUGGAAAGUUUCGGCGGUUGGGGAUGGACUCGCGGCUUAUCAGCUUGUUGGUGGGGUAGUGGCUUACCAAGGCUUUGACGGGUAGCCGGCCUGGGAGGGUGACCGGCCCCAUUGGGGCUGUGAUGCGGCCCAGACUCCUACGGGAGGCAGCAGUGGGGAAUAUUGCACAAUGGGCGGAAGCCUGAUGCAGCAACGCCGCGUGCUGGAUGACGGCCUUCGGGUUGUAAACCGCUUUCGCCUGUGACGAAGCGUGAGUGACGGUAAUGGGUAAAGAAGCACCGGCUAACUACGUG